GACGAACGCUGGCGGCGUGCUUAACACAUGCAAGUCGAACGCUGAAGCACCAGCUUGCUGGUGUGGAUGAGUGGCGAACGUGUGAGUAAUAAGUGAGUAACCUGCCCUUGACUCUGGGAUAAGCCCGGGAAACUGGGUCUAAUACUGGAUGCUACAUGUCACCGCAUGGUGGUGUGUGGAAAGGGUUUACUGGUCUUGGAUGGGCUCACGGCCUAUCAGCAUGUUGGUGAGGUAAUGGCUCACCAAGGCGACGACUGGUAGCCGUCCUAAGAGGGGGACCGACCACGCUGGGACUGAGACACGUCCCAUCCUCCUACGGGAGGCAGCGUUGGGGAAUAUUGCACAAUGGGCGAAAGAUCGAUGCAGCGACGCCGCGUGAGGGAGGACGGCCUUCGGGUUGUAAACCUCUUGCAGCAGGAAAGAAGCCACAAGUGACGGUACCUGCAGAAGAAGCGCCGGCUAGCUCCGUGCCAGCAGCCGCCGUAA
RNAcentral lists this ribosomal RNA (486 nucleotides) under uncultured bacterium. RNAcentral describes it as "partial 16S ribosomal RNA". It matches the Rfam family "Bacterial small subunit ribosomal RNA", at positions 28 to 523 of the family's 1533-position model. The record is from RNAcentral.